Molecule: long non-coding RNA, 4227 nt
Organism: Egretta garzetta (little egret)
Lineage: Eukaryota; Metazoa; Chordata; Aves; Pelecaniformes; Ardeidae
Exons: 3
Source: RefSeq, a predicted model, not a curated record
GAACACUUGGACACGGAGAGUCGGGGCUGGCGGACCCUACGGUUCUCCACAGGGCAGAUUAGAAAACAUUUCCUGAAGAUGAGGCUACACUUGCGCCUUCAGAUUUGCUGUGAUAAUCUACGCGCUCCAUUAGCAGUUUGCUCUCAAGGCCAUUGCGCGAAGAAGAAUGCUGUCACUGAUGGGAAGAUGUGUGCCAGAGGCUUGGCAGCUGGCCAGGACGUGCCUGAGUGCACCUGAGAUGGCAGCAGGAUCCGGUUGCAUAAGAAUCCAGGUCUGUAUUGUUAACUUGUGUUGAGUUUUUUUAUUCAGACGCAGGGUAAAAAGAAUGGAGAUACAGAAUUGCUCCUCCUUGCCCCCCGGCCCCUCACCACUUCCCCAAACACAAUUUCAUCUCAGUCACUACACUUGCGCUAUGGUUUUUAUGCAGCAGGUGUUACUGAUAGCUUCAUUUUGUUGUACCCAGCAGAGCUCAUGGUCAAGGGGAGUUGUUUAAGUUGAGGGGAUGCCCCUUAUCAUUUCCUUCACUUCAGUCACAAGCAAACAGCUUCCAAACAUGCUGCAGGCCUCCAUAUUGGUAUUUUUGUAUCGUACCUGGAAAAAGCCAAAGUCACUUGACAUUUGAAAGUCUGAGGUAGAAAUACAAAAUUAUUGGUUAAUCAGUGAAGUACUGAUGCAAAUAAGUGAUAGUAAUAACAAAACUAUAUUUUUUUCUUAAAAAACCUCUUAGUGAGGUUCCUCUAUACUCCAGUCUUGCAAGAUGUUGAACGGGGACGUUCUGUGGACAGUAGUAUACAGUACACACAGUAACAAUCUAUAGCCACAUCACAGAAUUUCCUGACUGUCACUUUGAUGCAGAAGAUAGACAUAAGAAUUUCCCAUCAAAGGUUUCCAUAGGAGAGGGAGAAAUUCUGCUCCUUCAGCUCUGAAACAGAGAUUUGUCAGUAAUAUUUUGAUGGAUGUUAUUGUAAUGGAUAUCAGAUAGAUGGAUAGACUGAAUGAUGCAUUUUGUCACAAAAUUGUUUCUGCAUUGCCACUAGCGGCUAUGUUAACUUGAUGUAUGGAAUUUAUUUUAUUGAGCAGGGUGUAAAACUGUCUGUAAAAAUACAGCAUUGAACUACUAUAUACAUAUAUGGCUUAAAUUUGAAGCUUCAGCUGACUGUAAUGUAGAGGGUCCCUAUGGAUGUGAACUUGGGUUUAUGAAGCAAAAAUGUACUGUAUCUUUAUGUCUUGUUACUAUCUCACAUUACAGUAAAAUUUCUUUUAUAUAUGAUGCAGUGUUAUUACUGCUUUAUUUUUACAUAAUAAAGCUAUUGAUUUACUGCAUUAACUGUAAUAACUGAGUAUUAAUUUGACACAUGCUUCUCCAGUAUUCCACUUUUAUUAGUGCUUUUGAUACUGUUUUGAAGAUUUUUUUCUAUGCCGUGAACAUAGAGGAGGACAUUAGAAGAUCAAUACAAUGACAACUUGCAGAAUCUUGUCAGAGACAAGAGUGAGAUCCAUGGUACAUGAAAUCUCAAGACUAACCCUAACUUUUGUGUGGAGGAACACUAAGUGGUUCCAUACACAUCACUGUCGCUGCAUAACUAAAAGCAAGUGCCAUGUCUUCAGCUCAACAGCAUUAAUUUUGUUUUAAUUGCUUAGGCUAUUAGGUGCACUUUUGUAAGACUUUAAAUGCUACUGUGAUGAGCAUGAGAAAACCUGUGGAAUAAUAAAUAUAUAGAGAGACAUUUGUGGAAGAAUAUCAAAAUGGAAUUUCAGAAGAUAGAUGUGUCAUGUUUAAUUGAAUCUCCAGCAGCAGGACGCUGCGGGAGCAGCAGCAUGACUCACAUGCAGUUGUGGUAGACGACUAGGCCCAUGUAGCCGCUCUGAAAAGAAUAAUUGAAACAUCCUCCAUCUUCUUUAAAUAUUACUUUCUUCAGUAAAAAGAUUACCGCACAAUAAGUAGAUCACUUCUUUGAAUAAGUCACAAUAUUGCAAUUUACUUAUUACUGUAACAAAAGGAAAUUCCAUUGAGUAUACAUUGCUCUCUGCUGUAUUUCAUCCUGUGAUGGAAUUUAUGCAGAAAGGUUCUUAAACAACUGUACCUUCCUCUGGAGGAAAAUGAUAGUUCAGAAAAAACUCCCUCCUCAUUCCUGUUUUCAAUCUAACAAUCCAAAAGUGAAUUUUCUAUGGAUAAGCAAACACAAAAUCAAACAAGAUCUCACCAGAGCAACUGCAAAACCAUCAUCAAUGUCUCCAACAUCUGUCAAUCGUUCCAAAAGGUCAUAUAUUUCAUCAAGCCCAAUGCAUGCUGCCAUAGGAAGUAUGUGUGUGAAACUAAACAAACUUGCUUCCCAUGUUGCUUUGGCACAAUUGUGCGUGACAGUGUUCUGUUAACAAAAUCAGGGCACUGAUCUGUUGGAGAAAAGUAACUACUUUUUUGGGGUGGGGAAGAGGGAGAGGUUUGAUGGUUUUUCAUCUGGGUCACUUCUGGAAUCCAUUUGAAAGAGACACCCCAAAGCAUUGUGGCUUUCUAAUUGUGGACAUAGGGUGCUGUGAGACAACGGCAGGAAGGAAUGCCAGGAGACCUUGAGGGAAGCGAAAGUAGCUUAAACUGCUGUACUCAUCCAGUGUAGAACCUGAGCCUGACACAAGGCUCGCCGAGGCUGUGUCAGAGGUUCCACUAUCCAAGGAGGCAGAAGGUAUCAUUCUGCUUAAAUCAUCUGUUAGAGUUGGGGGUUAAAACCAUACAUGUAUGAAUGUGCUGUCCAUAUAACAUCUGGUUUUACAGUCUGCAGUACUAAUUUAAAAUAUCUCCUUUUGUUCUCCAGGUCAUGUACUGCUGCAUGUUUAUGUUAUUCCUUAUUGCUCAUACCGACUCUUUGAAUCAGGUGUAGUAAACUAUUGUUUAGUUGUUUUUUCUCUUCCUUGUAAUGAUCUAUCUAAGUCUAUCUUUCCUCCAACUAAUGCUCUUGUACACAUUGCCAAGUUUUACCUGGCUGCCUCCAUAUUCUGUAUUGUUCAGGCAGAAAAAAACUGUGAUUCUGUCACAAGUUUUCUUGUCAUUAUCUGUUUAAAACACUUUUUAUCAACAAUAAAGUGCUAAAGUACCACAUCAGUCUUGCAACUAUUGCAUUGUCGUCUUUGUUUCUGCACGUUUAAUCAUUAACACCAACAUCGUUGUGUCUUCCCUACGCCCUACCUUUAAAUUGCAAUAGAGUCAUGUUUAUUUGCUCUCUGGUUGCUGACUGUCACUUUGUCUUCACUUUCAGCUAGGCCAGCCCAACUACCUUAUUUAGGCUGCAAUUAAUAGCCCAUCAGGCAGAACAGUUCUUUCACAUUCAUUUUGCAAGAACUCUCUCCCACUCACAACACCUGUUUCCCAAACAAGCCCAGUGAACUGCGGCCAAGCGAUGAACCUCCCUUGGUUCCAAGCAACCCCCUGAGCCACAGCAGAAAAUACAAGUUCAGCUUUCUCCUCACCACAGGGAAUUCCAUGAAAUCUUCAGUGUGGCUUGGCUUCUUAAAGCUUUUGCCAUCACUGCCCUAGUUUUCUUCCUCGCCUUUUCUCUUUUCCUAUAUGGUAGCAAUAACAGUUGGUCAAUGAGCGUAAGGUGGUUUUGUUAUUAAUCCUACAUUGUGGCAGUUACUUUGUUGGUAUUGUUCAUAAGUACCUUUGGUCUUUCAUUUACUUGGCUUUAGCAGCUUGAUUUUUAUUAACACUUUGUUAUAUAGAGCAGCAGCAUUUUGCGAUUCAGUACUAUAAUUGCUAUGUAAUCCUUGCAAGGUCAACAAGGAGUUAAAAUGCUUUGAGUUAAAAAGCUCAGGGUAAGAAGCAUGAGAACAGGCCUGACAAUUCCAAGAAAAUGUAGAGUCUGUGUAAGAUUUUUGAAGACUGAGAUAAAGAUUAAUUAUGAUUAAAGAUUAAAUCAAGUCAUGUUAGGGUGAUCUACACUGUAAUUUAGGAAGGAAAGUUAGUGUCCUUCAGUGUGGCACACAAACACAUGAAACACCAAUAAAUACUGAGAAUUAGAGUAACGUACUUAAGUUUUGGGUCAUGUGACCUAACCUCAUUACAUCAGUUAUAAUCCCAUUAUUAAAUCAAAUGUGAAAAUGGAAGUAUUUUGAGAAUGUUUUGGAUUUUUCUGGUAGUACAACUUUGGACCUGAAACUUAUUUUUAAUAAUUGCAGUCUCUUGAGUUCUACGUUCAAAAAUAAGUUUGUAAGUGUGUUGUAGUUGUGUCCUGG